CCUACGGGCGACAGCAGUGGGGAAUAUUGCGCAAUGGGCGAAAGCCUGACGCAGCGACGCCGCGUGAGGGAUGAAGGUCUUCGGAUCGUAAACCUCUGUCAGCAGGGAGGAACGGUCACUGUGCUAAUCAGCAGUGAAUUGACGGUACCUGCAAAGGAAGCACCGGCUAACUCCGUGCCAGCAGCCGCGGUAAUACGGAGGGUGCGAGCGUUAAUCGGAAUUACUGGGCGUAAAGCGCUCGUAGGCGGUAUGUCAAGUCAAGGGUGAAAUCCCCGGGCUCAACGUGGGAACUGCCUUUGAAACUGGCAGACUAGAGUGUGUGAGAGGAAAGUGGAAUGUCAGGUGUAGGAGUGAAAUGCGUAGAGAUCUGGAGGAACAUCAGUGGCGAAGGCGACUAUCUGGCACAUAACUGACGCUGAGGAACGAAAGCGUGGGUAGCAAACAGGAUUAGAUACCCUUGUAGUC
RNAcentral lists this ribosomal RNA (465 nucleotides) under uncultured bacterium. Its description in RNAcentral is "partial 16S ribosomal RNA". It matches the Rfam family "Bacterial small subunit ribosomal RNA", at positions 338 to 795 of the family's 1533-position model. The record is from RNAcentral.